RNAcentral lists this unclassified non-coding RNA (842 nucleotides) under Hevea brasiliensis (rubber tree). Lineage: Eukaryota; Viridiplantae; Streptophyta; Magnoliopsida; Malpighiales; Euphorbiaceae. The record is from RNAcentral.
AUAAGGAACAACAUUUACAUUCAACCUCAAGCCAUCACCAGCGGCAUUGGGUCCACGGCCUCCUUUGUACAAAGAAGUUCCAAUUGCUAACGGUGAAGUCCAAUCAACCUGAUUAGAAGAUGGUCUUUUGUUGAUUCCUGAAGAACCAGCAGUGGAGCUACCACCUGCAUCAGAGAUUGAAUGAACUGAUUCUAUCUUCUCGGGCUUAGAUCUACCGGAGAAAUCAUCUCCUAACACAGAAUUUUGACCAGAUAACAAGUUCCGUCUCGGGUAGGAAACUCCAGAAUGACUAUUGGACGGCAAACUUGGAAUCUUGUUCAAUUUCGGACUGUUAAAAGAAGCAUCCUUUGCACUCAGAACAUCAGCCGGUAUGAGUGUGCCUGGUGCUCCCAUGAGAUCAACCAAAAACUCGCUAUCAUUCGGUAACUUCACAAUGUUGACAGCAUCAUCUUCAACACCAGUGUAGUGACUCCCUUUAACAAGUCUACAGGGUAUUCCAACAUGGUCAGCUAGUACCUUAAAAAGCAGUGCACGGUGACGUGAAAGCCCAAUUUUUAGGGAUCCGAUUGGCAACACACUGGUGUGAAGUGAUGUCCUCAACUCAGUGCUAAUUUCCAUCCAUUUGGCCAAUAUGAUAUUUGCAUCCUUUACUGGGCCACCUAAAUGCCCAGUUACAAGUUCAGAAAGCCUCAGUACUAACAGACUAAUCUCACUGGCAGGGCAGUCCAAUGUAAUACAGUGUGCAAUCUGCAUCAACUCUUCCAAGGAGGGGUCAAUUCUCUGAUUAAUUAUCACGCCUUCAAAGUUAGAAGUCCCAGGAUUUGUUUCAAGUUCAGAAAGAG